This 138-nucleotide ribosomal RNA is filed under the name Gastrotheca sp. E DCB-2013. RNAcentral's name for it is "partial 16S ribosomal RNA". The record is from RNAcentral. Lineage: Eukaryota; Metazoa; Chordata; Amphibia; Anura; Hemiphractidae.
ACGUGAUCUGAGUUCAGACCGGAGUAAUCCAGGUCAGUUUCUAUCUAUAAGAAGCCUUCUCUAGUACGAAAGGACCGAAAAGACACAGCCAAUGCCCCCAGUAAGCUGUCCCCGUUAAUUUAUGACCCAAACUUAAUA